RNAcentral lists this ribosomal RNA (580 nucleotides) under uncultured bacterium. Its description in RNAcentral is "bacterial SSU rRNA". It matches the Rfam family "Bacterial small subunit ribosomal RNA", at positions 340 to 916 of the family's 1533-position model. The record is from RNAcentral.
UACGGGAGGCAGCAGUAGGGAAUUUUCGGCAAUGGGGGAAACCCUGACCGAGCAACGCCGCGUGAGCGAAGAAGGCCUUCGGGUCGUAAAGCUCUGUUGUAAAGGAAGAACGGCGCAUACAGGAAAUGGUAUGCGAGUGACGGUACUUUACCAGAAAGCCACGGCUAACUACGUGCCAGCAGCCGCGGUAAUACGUAGGUGGCGAGCGUUAUCCGGAAUCAUUGGGCGUAAAGAGGGAGCAGGCGGCCGCAAGGGUCUGUGGUGAAAGACCGAAGCUAAACUUCGGUAAGCCAUGGAAACCGGGCGGCUGGAGUGCGGAAGAGGAUCGUGGAAUUCCAUGUGUAGCGGUGAAAUGCGUAGAUAUAUGGAGGAACACCAGUGGCGAAGGCGACGGUCUGGGCCGCAACUGACGCUCAUUCCCGAAAGCGUGGGGAGCAAAUAGGAUUAGAUACCCUAGUAGUCCACGCCGUAAACGAUGGUCACUAAGUGUCGGGGGUCAAACCCCGGUGCUGCAGUCAACGCAAUAAGUGACCCGCCUGAGUAGUACGUUCGCAAGAAUGAAACUCAAAGGAAUUGACGG